Bubalus bubalis (water buffalo) is the source of this 819-nucleotide long non-coding RNA. RefSeq lists it as uncharacterized. NCBI's taxonomy places the organism in Eukaryota, Metazoa, Chordata, Mammalia, Artiodactyla, Bovidae. The record is from RefSeq and is a predicted model, not a curated record. The transcript is spliced from 3 exons.
GGGAGGAGAAGAGGAAAGGCGGGCAGGGGGGUGGAGAGCGGGCCGGAGAACGUGGACGGGUUGGGGAAAGGAGUAGCCAGGUCCAGACAAAGUUGUGCUGUAAAUGUGCUGACGAGACGAAGUAGCAGUAGAGACAGUGAUUGCCACAAAAAUCAUUCAUGAAAGAGAUGAAGACAUCCUAUGUGAUCCUCUCUUCUUUUGAAAUAAUACCACCAAGAUUUGAUCCUAUGAGUGAUAGAGCUCAGAAAGAGCUAGGCCGCUGAGCCUUGACCACAGUUAUCUCUCAUGGACACCUGGAAGCUUCUCCAAAUGUCUAGUAGAAAUUCCUAUUAUAUUUUAUACUGUAGCAGUGCUGGUGCUGAGACCACCACCUUGUGAGAAAAGUUCUCUUAAAGCACAAGUGACAACAUUCCAGAAACUGCACUUGAUUGUUAUAGAAAGACUCAGCCACCGGAUAUCCUCCCAACCAGUGACUGGAUACAGGGCCAUUUGAGAGUCAAGUGACUAGUUUCUUAAACCCUAUUCACGCCAAUCUUAAAUUAUAGCCAACCUACGAAAAUUGAAUACCACUCAUUUCACCAAGGAGAGCCUGUUUCUACCAUUCAUUAUGCUAAUUAACAAAUCAUUUAUUUUGUCAGUAAAAAUCUGUAUCUGCCAUUCAGGAUGCAAAUUAGAAAAUAACUGGUGUUUUUCAAAGACAUGAAUACAGAAGCACUUGUAGUCUCUGAGGUUGCCUUUUUGGUGUAUGUUUGCCACCCAUGCCAAACCAUGAAUUCUUUCUUUAUUUAUUAUUUUAAAUUUAUUUUAAUUGGAGGCUAA